RNAcentral lists this ribosomal RNA (378 nucleotides) under uncultured bacterium. RNAcentral's name for it is "partial 16S ribosomal RNA". It matches the Rfam family "Bacterial small subunit ribosomal RNA", at positions 355 to 725 of the family's 1533-position model. The record is from RNAcentral.
UGGGGAAUUUUGGACAAUGGGCGCAAGCCUGAUCCAGCCAUGCCGCGUGCGGGAAGAAGGCCUUCGGGUUGUAAGCCGCUUUUGUCAGGGAAGAAAUCUUCUGAGUUAAUACCUCGGGAGGAUGACGGUACCUGAAGAAUAAGCACCGGCUAACUACGUGCCAGCAGCCGCGGUAAUACGUAGGGUGCAAGCGUUAAUCGGAAUUACUGGGCGUAAAGCGUGCGCAGGCGGUUUUGUAAGACAGAGGUGAAAUCCCCGGGCUCAACCUGGGAACUGCCUUUGUGACUGCAAGGCUUGAGUGCGGCAGAGGGGGAUGGAAUUCCGCGUGUAGCAGUGAAAUGCGUAGAUAUGCGGAGGAACACCGAUGGCGAAGGCAAU